Molecule: ribosomal RNA, 509 nt
Filed under: Pielomastax guliujiangensis
Lineage: Eukaryota; Metazoa; Arthropoda; Insecta; Orthoptera; Episactidae
Description: partial 16S ribosomal RNA
Rfam family: Bacterial large subunit ribosomal RNA
Source: RNAcentral
GUCUUUAAGAUUUAAUUUAAAGUCUUACCUGCUCACUGAUCUAAAUUUAAAUAGCCGCGGUAUAUUGACCGUGCGAAGGUAGCAUAAUCAUUAGUCUUUUAAUUGGAGGCUGGAAUGAAUGGUUUGACGAAAAGUAAACUGUCUCUUUAUAAUAAUCGGAAUUUAACUUUUGAGUUAGAAUGCUUAAAUAGAAUUUUUGGACGAGAAGACCCUAUAGAGCUUAACUUAAUUUAGAUUAAUUAUAUUUAAGAUUUUAUUAUUAAUUAAUCUAAAUCAAGUUUCGUUGGGGUGAUGUAAAUAAUAGUUAAACUUUUUUUAUUUUUUUCACUAAUUUGUGUUUAUUUGAUCCAUAAUUUAUGAUUAAAAGAUUAAGUUACCUUAGGGAUAACAGCGUAAUAUCUUUUGAGAGUUCAUAUUGACAAAGAAGAUUGCGACCUCGAUGUUGGAUUAGGGUAAAUUGUAUAGGUGUAGAAGCUAUAUAAAUGGGUCUGUUCGACCUUUAAAUUCCU